AAACAGAAGGAGAUGUGAUACUGAUUGAAAAUGGCACCAAUUUAACUUUAUCCUCGAGAGCAGAUGGAUUUUACUACUGUAACAGCAAGCAAUGGAUUUGGAUCAUCCAAUUCAUCAGAAUGGCCAUGUACAUCAGAUAACAGAGCUGUAAAAUAUGCAGGUUCGGGAGUCGCUGUCGGUUUGGUUCUGUUAUUCAUGUUGUCAUUCUGUGGAUGAGGAAAAGCGGACCAGCAUACAGUAACAGGAGUGAGGAGUACAGCAAGAACGACUCUUCUCCUGUGUAUGGUAACGUCUCAGUUAUGACCUCUGACCCCACACAAACAGAUCAGGACAACGUUCAGUACUCCAGCGUUUACUUCACACAAACGCACACACAGGAAGUGCCUCUCUACUCGACGGUUCAACUGCCAAAGGCUCUCAAUCAGAAAGAGGACGUAGUAUAUGCCACAGUGAACCUCGUCAAAUCAAGAGCUGUUCGGGAGGACGAAAUCUACAACAAUCUGAAGUCCAAGAGUAAGAACUGACCACAAAAUUCAACGUCUGCAACAUGUGUUAAAAAAGGUCCAGAUACUCUUUUUUUCCCCCCGCUAGGGCUCAGCCAGCUCCUGCAAGAAGCUUCUGGGCAGAUGUGAAUGCGUGAUCUCCUUCCUCCAACACCAUCAAGAGGAAACACCAGCAGAGAAACGGCAGAAAAAAAAACCACACCGAAGCACAUGUUGCCUUGGGAACUGUGACACACUCGGAGAGGGAGAACCCAUGCCAGAACACAGGCAGCAGGCACUGGCCCAAGAGGCAGAUGUCUGUAAGAGAGAACUGUGUAAAAUUGUGAAAAUAUUCAAAUAUAUUUCAUUUAAACACACCAAACAACGUUCUCUGACAAGAAUGCGUGAUCACAGUUUUAACUCCAGCUGCUGCCGUUGCUUUCUUGAAUCACAGUUAGAAAAGCAGAUUCUUUUGGCUUGAGAGAUGCCUGAUCAAGUCUUGCAGGCAUUCACUAUCCCACUGGAGGCCUGAUUGUCAUGGAAAUACCAGGAAAAGGACUAGAGACUACAAUUCCCAUCAGCCACCUCACCUGACCAUGUCACAUGACUGGUCUGCACCUGAUCUCAAUUUCACACUCAUCACUGUUCCCCUAUAUAAGCCUCAUCCUGUUUCAGCCACACUGUGAAGUAAUUACUCAGUUUCCUUAGUGUUCUGUCAUUACCAUGUCUUUCAUAAAGAAAAAAUAAUAAAUAAUCCAUUCUCUCUGUCCAUUUCUGGAUGGUUUAAUUCCAAACA
This is a long non-coding RNA of Ictalurus punctatus (channel catfish), 1278 nucleotides long. Lineage: Eukaryota; Metazoa; Chordata; Actinopteri; Siluriformes; Ictaluridae. The record is from Ensembl.